RNAcentral lists this ribosomal RNA (500 nucleotides) under uncultured bacterium. RNAcentral's name for it is "partial 16S ribosomal RNA". It matches the Rfam family "Bacterial small subunit ribosomal RNA", at positions 28 to 507 of the family's 1533-position model. The record is from RNAcentral.
GACGAACGCUGGCGGCGUGCUUAACACAUGCAAGUCGAACGGGUCUGCCCUGUUUUUUGCGGGGUGGGUCAGUGGCGAACGGGUGAGUAACACGUGAGUAACCUGCCCCUCACUUCUGGAUAACCGCUUGAAAGGGUGGCUAAUACGGGGUGUUCUGGCUGUGCCGCAUGGUGUGGCUGGGAAAGAUUCACUUUUGUGGUGUUUUGGUGGGGAAUGGGCUCGCGGCCUAUCAGCUUGUUGGUGGGGUGAUGGCCUGCCAAGGCUUUGACGGGUAGCCGGCCUGAGAGGGUGGGCGGUCACACUGGGACUGAGAUACGGCCCAGACUCCUGCGGGAGGCAGCAGUGGGGGGUAUUGCACAAUGGGCGGAAGCCUGAUGCAGCGACGUCGCGUGAGGGAUGGAGGCCUUCGGGUUGUGAACCUCUUUCGCCGGUGAAGAAGGUCCUGCUCUUUGUGGUGGGGUUGACGGUAGCCGGGUUAUGAAGCGCCGGCUAACUACGUG